This 253-nucleotide ribosomal RNA is filed under the name uncultured bacterium. Its description in RNAcentral is "partial 16S ribosomal RNA". It matches the Rfam family "Bacterial small subunit ribosomal RNA", at positions 524 to 776 of the family's 1533-position model. The record is from RNAcentral.
UACGUAGGGUGCAAGCGUUAAUCGGAAUUACUGGGCGUAAAGCGUGCGCAGGCGGUGAUGUAAGACAGGUGUGAAAUCCCCGGGCUUAACCUGGGAACUGCAUUUGUGACUGCAUCGCUGGAGUGCGGCAGAGGGGGAUGGAAUUCCGCGUGUAGCAGUGAAAUACGUAGAUAUGCGGAGGAACACCGAUGGCGAAGGCAAUCCCCUGGGCCUGCACUGACGCUCAUGCACGAAAGCGCGGGGAGCAAACAGG